AUUGAACGCUGGCGGCAUGCUUUACACAUGCAAGUCGAACGGCAGCACGGGUGCUUGCACCUGGUGGCGAGUGGCGAACGGGUGAGUAAUACAUCGGAACGUGCCUGGUAGUGGGGGAUAACUGCUCGAAAGAGCAGCUAAUACCGCAUGAGAUCUAAGGAUGAAAGCAGGGGACCUUCGGGCCUUGUGCUACCAGAGCGGCUGAUGGCAGAUUAGGUAGUUGGUGGGGUAAAGGCUCACCUAGGCUUCGAUCAGUAGCUGGUCUGAGAGGACGACCAGCCACACUGGAACUGAGACACGGUCCAGACUCCUACGGGAGGCAGCAGUGGGGAAUAUUGGACAAUGGGCGCAAGCCUGAUCCAGCCAUGCCGCGUGUGUGAAGAAGGCUCGGUGUAAC
RNAcentral lists this ribosomal RNA (397 nucleotides) under uncultured bacterium. RNAcentral's name for it is "bacterial SSU rRNA". It matches the Rfam family "Bacterial small subunit ribosomal RNA", at positions 30 to 429 of the family's 1533-position model. The record is from RNAcentral.